RNAcentral lists this ribosomal RNA (677 nucleotides) under Bacillus cereus. RNAcentral's name for it is "bacterial SSU rRNA". It matches the Rfam family "Bacterial small subunit ribosomal RNA", at positions 727 to 1401 of the family's 1533-position model. Lineage: Bacteria; Bacillati; Bacillota; Bacilli; Caryophanales; Bacillaceae. The record is from RNAcentral.
CGGGUCCUUGUAACUGACACUGAGGCUCGAAAGCGUGGGGAGCAAACAGGAUUAGAUACCCUGGUAGUCCACGCCGUAAACGAUGAGUGCUAAGUGUUAGAGGGUUUCCGACCUUUAGUGCUGAAGUUAACGCAUUAAGCACUCCGCCUGGGGAGUCCGGCCGCAAGGCUGAAACUCAAAGGAAUUGACGGGGGCCCGCACAAGCGGGGGAGCAUGUGGUUUAAUUCAAAGCAACGCAAAAAACCUUACCAGGUUUUGACAUCCUCUGACAACCCUAAAGAUAGGGCUUCUCCUUCGGGAGCAGAGUGACAGGGGGGGCAUGGUUGUCGUCAGCUCGUGUCGUGAAAUGUUGGGUUAAGUCCCGCAACAACCGCAACCCUUGAUCUUAGUUGCCAUCAUUAAGUUGGGCACUCUAAGGUGACUGCCGGGGACAAACCGGAGGAAGGUGGGGAUGACGUCAAAUCAUCAUGCCCCUUAUGACCUGGGCUACACACGUGCUACAAUGGACGGUACAAAAAGCUGCAAGACCGCGAGGUGGAGCUAAUUUUAUAAAACCGUUUUCAGUUCGGAUUGUAGGCUGCAACUCGCCUACAUGAAGCUGGAAUCCCUAAUAAUCGGAGGAUCACCAUGCCCGCAGAGAAUACUUUCCCGCGGCCUUGUACACACCGCCCGUCACA